Long non-coding RNA from Zingiber officinale, 454 nucleotides. RefSeq lists it as uncharacterized. The transcript is spliced from 2 exons. NCBI's taxonomy places the organism in Eukaryota, Viridiplantae, Streptophyta, Magnoliopsida, Zingiberales, Zingiberaceae. The record is from RefSeq and is a predicted model, not a curated record.
GAAGAAACGAAUGACGUUGGAGGCUCGGACCCUUGACCAGACUGGGCUGGACAAUACACUCCCAAGGACCUUCCGAUUCCGCAUAAAGAAUAAAUAAACGUCAUUUAUGAUUUAGAGAGAAUAAAAUAGUAUUGAAUUUAGACCUCCAGGAUAUUUGACAGCAUAGUCCAAUAGCUAGCACAUGGCAUGCUGAUGAAAUUGUUCCAAACAAAGAAGAGCUCAUUCUCUCGCGACUACAUAAAGGGGAUUUUUUUGUAUUAUGAUGACUAUAUAGAACAUUAAAGUCCAUAUUCUUUAUAAAUAUUUAUUUUUAACAAUUUGUCUAUUAUUCUGAAAAUUCAUGUAAAAUGAAAUUUGAGUCAUACCUCUAGGUUCGUGAAGCAUAUAUUUCCAACUUGUGGCCAAUUAACUGUCGGUUGGAACGUUUCUAUGACUAAAGGAGCUUCACUUGGAA